Molecule: long non-coding RNA, 574 nt
Filed under: Homo sapiens (human)
Lineage: Eukaryota; Metazoa; Chordata; Mammalia; Primates; Hominidae
Description: HSALNT0394927
Source: RNAcentral
CUGAUGUAAAGAAACCUGAGCUGCCUGUUGUAUAAGAGGAUAGCACACACCAUUAUGAACAAUGGCAACAGUGCUCAAAGGGAAGGAAGAUAAUUAAAAUGGAAGACAGAGCCAUCAAAAACCAUGUGGAGGAAAGUCACUACAUGAGCCUAGACUGAAAGAAUGUACACAGGCAGAUAUAAAUGCCUAUUUCAUUUAACGUAUUUUGCUUAGGAUCUCCUUGUUAUAAAACCUUGGCUUUUGGUCAAAUAACACAGACCAGUAAGAAAUGAGGUUGGAAGAUGGGAAUAUUUAGGAGCAGUAGGAAUGGCUCUCCUGACACCAGUUCUUGAACUAUAAAUGUGUUUGGAUUCCCAGAGGUUUUUACACUCUACUAACAUUUAUGAUUUGUGAGAGAUUAGUUUCAGGAACUAGUACAUGUUGAAGUAGAGGAUUUAAAGACUAUCCAUGAUUAAAUGUCUCUUUGCAAGAUACCCGUUCCCUGAGGGGCAUGCAUCAUGCACAGGAAAACCACAGGAUCUGCGAAAUGCAAGAUGACCCAACUUCCAACAGUGUUAAUCAAUGGAGUAGUCAU